CCUACGGGGGGCUGCAGUGGGGAAUAUUGGACAAUGGGGGGAACCCUGAUCCAGCCAUGCCGCGUGUGUGAAGAAGGCCCUCGGGUUGUAAAGCACUUUCAGUGAGGAAGAACGCCUGGUGGUUAAUACCCAUCAGGAAAGACAUCACUCACAGAAGAAGCACCGGCUAACUCCGUGCCAGCAGCCGCGGUAAUACGGAGGGUGCGAGCGUUAAUCGGAAUUACUGGGCGUAAAGCGCGCGUAGGUGGCUUGAUAAGCCGGUUGUGAAAGCCCCGGGCUCAACCUGGGAACGGCAUCCGGAACUGUCAAGCUAGAGUGCAUGAGAGGAAGGUAGAAUUCCCGGUGUAGCGGUGAAAUGCGUAGAGAUCGGGAGGAAUACCAGUGGCGAAGGCGGCCUUCUGGACUGACACUGACACUGAGGUGCGAAAGCGUGGGUAGCAAACAGGAUUAGAUACCCCAGUAGUC
This 465-nucleotide ribosomal RNA is filed under the name Vreelandella stevensii. RNAcentral describes it as "partial 16S ribosomal RNA". It matches the Rfam family "Bacterial small subunit ribosomal RNA", at positions 338 to 795 of the family's 1533-position model. Lineage: Bacteria; Pseudomonadati; Pseudomonadota; Gammaproteobacteria; Oceanospirillales; Halomonadaceae. The record is from RNAcentral.